AGAGUUUGAUCCUGGCUCAGAGCGAACGCUGGCGGCAGGCUUAACACAUGCAAGUCGAACGGGCACCUUCGGGUGUCAGUGGCAGACGGGUGAGUAACACGUGGGAACGUACCUUUCGGUUCGGAACAACUCCGGGAAACUGGAGCUAAUACCGGAUACGCCCUUUUGGGGGAAAGAUUUAUCGCCGAAAGAUCGGCCCGCGUCUGAUUAGCUUGUUGGUGAGGUAAUGGCUCACCAAGGCGACGAUCAGUAGCUGGUCUGAGAGGAUGAUCAGCCACACUGGGACUGAGACACGGCCCAGACUCCUACGGGAGGCAGCAGUGGGGAAUAUUGGACAAUGGGCGAAAGCCUGAUCCAGCCAUGCCGCGUGAGUGAUGAAGGCCUUAGGGUUGUAAAGCUCUUUCGGCGGGGACGAUAAUGACGGUACCCGCAGAAGAAGCCCCGGCUAACUUCGUGCCAGCAGCCGCGGUAAUACGAAGGGGGCUAGCGUUGCUCGGAAUCACUGGGCGUAAAGGGCGCGUAGGCGGAUCUUUAAGUCAGAGGUGAAAGCCCAGGGCUCAACCCUGGAAUUGCCUUUGAUACUGAGGAUCUCGAGACCGGAAGAGGUAAGUGGAACUGCGAGUGUAGAGGUGAAAUUCGUAGAUAUUCGCAAGAACACCAGUGGCGAAGGCGGCUUACUGGUCCGGUUCUGACGCUGAGGCGCGAAAGCGUGGGGAGCAAACAGGAUUAGAUACCCUGGUAGUCCACGCCGUAAACGAUGGAUGCUAGCCGUUGGCAGGCUUGCCUGUCAGUGGCGCAGCUAACGCUUUAAGCAUCCNCGCCUGGGGAGUACGGUCGCAAGAUUAAAACUCAAAGGAAUUGACGG
This 865-nucleotide ribosomal RNA is filed under the name uncultured bacterium. Its description in RNAcentral is "bacterial SSU rRNA". It matches the Rfam family "Bacterial small subunit ribosomal RNA", at positions 8 to 916 of the family's 1533-position model. The record is from RNAcentral.